This 497-nucleotide ribosomal RNA is filed under the name uncultured bacterium. RNAcentral describes it as "partial 16S ribosomal RNA". It matches the Rfam family "Bacterial small subunit ribosomal RNA", at positions 28 to 507 of the family's 1533-position model. The record is from RNAcentral.
GAUGAACGCUGGCGGCGUGCCUAAUACAUGCAAGUCGAGCGAACGGACGAGAAGCUUGCUUCUCUGAUGUUAGCGGCGGACGGGUGAGUAACACGUGGAUAACCUACCUAUAAGACUGGGAUAACUUCGGGAAACCGGAGCUAAUACCGGAUAAUAUUUUGAACCGCAUGGUUCAAAAGUGAAAGACGGUCUUGCUGUCACUUAUAGAUGGAUCCGCGCUGCAUUAGCUAGUUGGUAAGGUAACGGCUUACCAAGGCAACGAUGCAUAGCCGACCUGAGAGGGUGAUCGGCCGCACUGGAACUGAGACACGGUGCAGACUCCUACGGGAGGCAGCAGUAGGGAAUCUUCCGCAAUGGGCGAAAGCCUGACGGAGCAACGCCGCGUGAGUGAUGAAGGUCUUCGGAUCGUAAAACUCUGUUAUUAGGGAAGAACAUAUGUGUAAGUAACUGUGCACAUCUUGACGGUACCUAAUCAGAAAGCCACGGCUAACUACGUG